ACGGCGCGAGUGACGACGCCGCGCGCACGUGAAGCCUGUGUCUGCGCCGCGAGUGACACGCGUGUGAACAUCAUACUUACGACAAAGUGACUGUGCCUGUGAAUGCUCCACCAUACCCGAGGCUCUGAGGUGCUUGUGUAGCAGUGUUUGUAUUGUGGUGACCAGCUCCGUCCUCAGGUGCUUUCUCUGGAGUUACACAAAACUGUGCCAAGCAUCGGGUUACGACCGCCACGCGACUCGCUACGUGACCGACAAACGGAUCGUUAAAGAUGCGUGUAUAACCGGUGCAGCGUAGCUUGGCAUGGGCCAGGCGGGCAGCCACGCGCCGCCGCCGCAGCGCGGGCGUCGGGCGCACACGCUGCCGCACGACCCGCCGCGACUUGCGCCUAAGGUGCUACCAACGCUAUGCGAGUCGCCACGCCUGCGCAGUACGGACAACGGCGCGAUCCUGCACUCGGGCGGCACCAUCAGCGGCCGCAGACCCAACACCAUACACGAUAAUGUGCCGCAUGGACAUGUGCACGCGAACGUGUACCGGUCGCGGUCGGCGGGGACGUCGGGGGAGAACACUGACAUACGCACGAGAGAGAGAGAUCCCCUGCAUCGGUCACACACCAACUUGGAGCUAAGGCAUGAUGGAAUUUCAGGAAGCAGUAUGAACAACCGAUUCGGGUCUGAACCAGACCUGAGGAUAGAAGAAGAACAGAAAACGAGAAAUGGAAACAAACACUUUCGAAAAAAAUACAGAGCACCCCCACCACCCACCAAUGACAACUUCGAGGGUUCAUCGCCAGAUUCCAGCGAAGGGAACGCGAGACCUGAACCCCAGAGGAAACUAAGACUGUUCAAAACGAGAAACGAAACCAAAAAACUGAACGGCCAGGAAAACUUGCAGUUCAGAAACUCAUAUCACGAAUACAAGUCACUCGAUAUGACCGACAACGCGGCGUUCGAGAGACGAUACAGAUCGCCUUGCAAGGACAAGGAGCAACACUUAAAAUACCCUGACAAUAAGGACAUGGUGCAGAGCACCGCCUCUCUCAAGAGGGAGGAACGACUCAUACAAACGAAACAAGACUACAGGAAGACGAGAAUAGACAGGAUGAGCGGCUGUCGAGCGAAGACAUCCAAGAACGAACACAGUGAAGCGUGGAAGACUCCACUACUAAACAGGAAUUUCAGGUACUCCGAGAGGUUCAAGAAAGAUGACAACGAACUGCCCGCGCUCAGGAGAGAGAGGACAUUCGACGAAACAUUGAUCGCCAGCGAGAGGGAGAGCGAGUCCUCCAGAGCAGCGCACGAGGGCAGGAUGAAGGCCAUCGCGGAACAGCUGAGGGGGGGCAAGCCCACCCCCCUGGCGGAGACCAACAAACCGUUGAGAAAAUCUCUUCCUUCACUAUUGGCAAAAAAUAAUGAAGAAAAAGAUGAAUUUCAAGCAGAACUUAAGAAGGCUACGAGUAGAAUUAGAAAUCAAUUAGGCAGUAAAGUUAAUGAUAGUGAAACCAAAACUAGUCAAGAGAAGAACGAUUUGAGGAGCCCAACGAAAAUACCGAGUAAAGUGAAAAAGUCUAGUCCAAGUGUUGCCACCAAAACUGAAGCUAAGGUUGUUAGUAGACGGCCCUUCAGUCGGACGAACGAGGACAAAGCUAGACAGACGAGUAACGUUGUUAGUGCUAAGAAAUUGGACAAUAAGUAUAAGGCGAGCAGUAAGGAGAACAGCCGACCCAUGCCGGACAGAGGGCAGGCCUCCGGGAAGGAGUCCACUCCUGAACACUCACCCACUAGGAAAUUGGAAUCACUGAUCAAAUCAAACCAAUCGUCGCAAGAAAAACAAAAGCAGGCAGCUCCAUCUAAACAGUUCUACUUCGGCAUGAUAGAGAGCAAACAGACAGACACAAACGAUCACCUGAAGGACUUUCCCGGGCUCGGCAGCCCCAUCAUCGAGGAGAUCUCCAACUUCCACCUGAUCGAACAGAAGCUGCUCAACUAUCAGGAGGACGAGUCGGAGUUCGAUAAGUUCAAUGAAAAGCUGAAGGAGGAGAGCAAGACUAAGAAUUUAUCAUCCGAGUCGGCCCUAUCAUCAGGCGGGUCGGUGGAGUCGGACAGUUCGCUGGGCAUCGCGCUGAGGCUGCGUCCCACGCUGCCCAAGAAGCAGCGCUGUGUGCCGCGCUUCUCGCCUGCUGCUGCUUGGAGACAGCUCGCGUGUCUGGAUGAUCAUCUCGCUGCAGCAGAGACACAACCACUAGCAGUAGAGACGAAGAUGACAGGAGACAUAUCGGCGGAGUCAUCGCCGCGGUCGGACCAGUCGGCCGACAAGUCGGGAGACUCCGGUAUAUCGGGAGACCACAUGCAUUCGGAUCACAGGAUAGACUCGCCUCCUACACAUCAUGUACACACACAAGACUCAGGCCCAGCUGCCUGGACCCCACAGCAGGACCUGGGCGACAGCAGCUCGGACGGCGCAGGCGGGGCCCCAGCGCUGCUGGGCUCGGGGCUCGCCACCUACAGCCCCGGCCACCAGCCUUUCAGCCUGUCCCUGCCCAGGGACCAGGACCGGUUUAAAGCCAUGUCGUGCUUCUAUGACUGCUUCCAGGGUAAGCAGUUACAGCAAGGCUUCAACAGUCUCCAGAAACUUCGGAAGUCGGUGUCUGGGGCGUUAGGAGCGGCUUUAGGUUCGAGAAGGUUCGAUUUGGAACAUGAGCCGAUGUUGGAAGAGCCGGAACAGAACUGGUUCCUGACGAAGUCUGCUCCCAACUCCUUGAGCAAUCCCCUCCUGUUCCAGCAGCCGGCGAGAGCGAAGGGAUCUGAAGAAGACGCUAUUAAGGAGGAGUCUUUACCGGCUUCGGAAAAGGAAGAGUUAGGCACCUGGCGAGCCGGUACAUCAUACCUGUCGUGGGGUGGGCACGUCAUGUACCUGCCUCCUGCACCUGCUGCAGAACAGCCACUGUCUAUGCUCGGACCUAUUGAUAGGCCCGUCAGGAGCAAAUCGAGCGGUUGUUUGGAAGCGUCAGCGCGCGCGGCAAGGGCAGGGCUGUGCGCGGAGAUGCGCGAGCGAGAGCGCUCCGCCUCGCCCGACCUGGCGCGAGCCCUUCCUGCAAGAGUACUGCCCGCCAACACUCGCUCAUCGCAAGCAGCGGGCCGUGGCAAGCGCUUUACAUUCCAGUCGACUGUCAGACAGCUGGAGCGACGGCGCCUGGCUGAGAAGCUGUCUAAAGAGGCUGACUUGAAGGAGCAGCAGAGAAGAACAGAGCUGGAGGCCAUGAGGAGAGUGGAGGAGGAGUUCCAGCGCAAGCGCGCGCGGGAGAAGGCGAACAUCAGACAACAACUACGCCUCGUCAGUGGCGUCAACAGCAUGCCCACGCCACCGCCGCAACAUAAUAAGUCUCGCGACUCCCCGGACGGGUCGUGCCGCGCGUCGCCGGCGCCGGAGCGGCCGCGCGACUCGCAGCGACACAGCAACGCCUCGUCCGAGAUCAGUGCACGCAGCAAAAGUACUACUCCUAUCCGCAGCGUGGAGCUGUCGGCGUGGCGCACGGGUUGCGAGGCGCGCGUGUACCGCGACUGGGCGGCGGCGCGCGAGCACCCCCCCGCCUGCGCGCACAUGCCACGAGCCACCCACACUAUAUACAACGGCGGCGGCAGCGCCGGGUCGGGCGAGGCCUUCAGCGGCAGCCCGCGCUCGGACAACUACCGGCUAGAGUUCGCGCGCGGGCGCCCCCCCUCCCCGCGCGCCGCGUCGCCGCGCACGCCGCGCGCGCCGCGCCUGCUGCGCGUGCGACAACCCUCCUCGUCCGGCUCCGACCUGUCGCUCAGACAGCCUAUUAAGAUCAGGUGGUGAAAUGUGGGAGUAGCGCUAUUACCUAACAUUAACCCUGCGCGCGCGCAUACAAGUGAACCUACGAAAGAGGAGGCGGAACCCGAGGAGCCCGCCAUCGUCCCAACGCUCCGCCCCGCCGGACCCCCGCGGACUCCACUACUCACUCACUGACACACACUCACUGGCUUACACAGAGUCACUCACUCACACAUAGUAUCGCUCACUUACACAUAGUGUCACUCACCUACACUGGAACACAGUCUACACUGAAGACUGUACUCUACGAAUGUAGACUCUACAGGCAUCGCAUCUGGUUGUAAUGAUGUCGGUGGGAUUUAAAGUGUUAAUUUCACUAUGUUGGAAAAUGUACUAGUUUGCAACAGUGUUCACUAAAUAUUAACAACCACAAAAAAUAAUAAAUAAAAAAGUGUUUUGUCCCAUUCAAUUUAAAGCGCCAACCCCAAGUAAAAUUGGGAACAGGGCAGGAGAAAGAAGAAGAAUUUAAAACGAUGUUAAAUUUUUGUUUAAAAUAUGAUUUGUGGUAAUAAUGUUUAGUUGAAAAUAUUGCAACGUGAUUUAACAGGCGUUAUUAGAAGCGUUUGAUGAACGUGAGUGUAGUCAUUGACGAUGAUAUAAUUAAGAACAUAAUCAUAAACUUGUAUAUGUUGAACUGUAAUCUAUGUAAACAUCUAUUUAUUUAACUUGAAUUCUUUUUAGGAGUUUGUUACCUGAUAUAUUGGUUUGAGAUUAAAUAGGACUUCGAGAGAUGGCCAAGCGUAAGUGCCAACCCAAAAAUAUUUGGUAUAAAAAUUAAGAUGAAUAAAUAAAUAAAAAGGAACCCUUUUAUAAAUGAGUUUUGGAACUAAUUAUGGGCACGAAGGUGGUCGAAUGUCCGGUGUUCAGUGGUAGCCGGAACGGGUGUGUAUGUAGGUGGGUCACGCGAACACUUGCUGAAAUUUGGGUCGGCCAAGCAUUGUGCUAUUCUUAUUUACCCUUUACUUUUCUUACUUGUUGACCUACUGUAGAAAAGUCAGAUCGUCUGGAAAAUAGCACAGAUAAUUGUUUAAGUGGAUCUUUUUAAGUUAUUAAACUUUUUUUGAAAAAAAAAAUGUUUCAACAAGAAAUCAGCCAGUUCGUGUGACUUGCUAUUUUUGUCUAUAAAAUACACACAAGAAUACUUUAGAAAUUGUUUUAGCAGGGUUUCAAUUUGGAAAUAUAUUAAAGAAAACGGAAAAGCAAGUAAAGAGAGAAUUGUUAAUUUAGCAACACAGUACUGUGAAGAUAUUGACUCCGAAGAGUGCUUUAAUUCGCAUCUGUUAUGUACUUAAUCUAUGUAAAUCUUUGUACUGUAUUUAAUCAAGUUUAGUUUUAUAUGUCAAGCUGUAUUCACAAAAAGAAAGAAGCGAUUAAAUAUAUAAAAAAAAUGUAAUGUCUCGAUUUCCAUGUAAAAUCAUUUAAUAACUAUCUUUUUGUGAAUUCCGUUUCUACGUUAUAAUUCCAAUAGUUAUGGUCUUCCAUUGUAAGCUAAAUACUGAAGCUUUAAUAUAGACUUAACCCUAGACUUAUUGCGGUGCUAUUUUACGUCAAACUGUAGAGUGACGUUACAAUGUCAACGUCAAACCCUACAGUUAAACGUCAUUGUUAGGUGCUGAAUUAUACCGAGUUUUAUACAUAGUCAUAUUGAUAUUAUUAUGUGAGUUUUCUGUUACAAGUAAAAUAAAAAUAUCGCGGUAUAUAAACAAACAAAUUUCCCAAUAAAAAGCCUAUAUUGUGCCCCUUAAUUGAGACUUCCCCUCGUCAUAACCUUUAGGAAAGCUGAUAGUCCAUUUCCUAUAGUUCACGGGUAGAAUGGACCGGGGUGCGCCGUGACCGGGUUAACCACGGCUGAUCGAUUGUCGCAACCAUGCUUUUAUGACGUGAAAAAUAAUAUUGGGCGGGUCUCAUUGUAAUAAUUCCAUUGUUAACAGCCUUAUAAAAUCAUUUUAUUGUUAUACAUAUAGUUGUGGGAAAGUGGCUGAAAAAGAUUCGCGGUAUUUAAAAACAAAUAAUGAAUAGGCGAACAGGCGAAAUAUCAACUUUGCCGGUCUAACCUUUGUAAAAAGUCAAAGAAAAUUAUGUAUGCCCAUGACAUUAACAUGAAAUUGAAAUAAUGAAGAAAAUAUGCAUGAUAAAGACUAACUCCUUGAGGAAAAAUAAAUAUACUUUUAAGAAACUCACUAAAAUAAGUUAUAUUUGUUUAUUAUUUAUCAUACAUACAGCCCCAUAUUAUACCGAAUGUUGUAUAUCAUUUAUUCAUUUUUAAAUUAAACGAUAAAUACAAUAUACAACACGAGAAGUAUUUUAUUUAUAAGAAAUGAAAUUAUGAAUCUAAUAUAAAGCGGCUCAAUUGUAUAUAACUUAAACUUAAGCGUUAUUAAUAUUGUGUAUCUGUAUUCGAAAUAUACAUUUGAAUGCUGAAAUAUUUAUGGUAACAUUUCCAAUUUUUGCAAAAUUUAUAUAACCCAUGUUAGCCGGUUAUUGUUAAAAUUAUAACGGGAAAGCAUAAAAAGUUACUAUAAAUAUUUUACGUCAUAUAGACUUAAACUUGUAACAUAGAUAAGCAUAUACAUAGGUGCAUUGUAUUGUAUAUAAUAAGCUAAAGUUCGGUGCAUGUACAUAACUAGAGUAGGAUGUAAACCCUGUAUCUACAAGUAAUAAAGAUUUGUAUAACGAUUUUA
Helicoverpa armigera (cotton bollworm) is the source of this 6534-nucleotide RNA transcript. RefSeq lists it as uncharacterized. The record is from RefSeq and is a predicted model, not a curated record. The transcript is spliced from 22 exons. Lineage: Eukaryota; Metazoa; Arthropoda; Insecta; Lepidoptera; Noctuidae.